AACGAACGCUGGCGGCGCGCCUAACACAUGCAAGUCGAACGAGAAGGCGUAGCAAUACGCUUGUAGAGUGGCGAACGGGUGAGUAAUACGUGGGUGACCUACCCUCGAGUGGGGAAUAACCCGCCGAAGGCGGGCUAAUGCCGCGUACGCUUCCGUCCUCACGGGGACGGAAGGAAAGCUGUACCGUGGGUACGGCGCUCAAGGAUGGGCUCACGUCCUAUCAGCUUGUUGGUAGGGUAACGGCCACCAAGGCUACGACGGGUAGCUGGUCUGAGAGGACGAUCAGCCACACUGGCACUGCGACACGGGCCAGACUCCUACGGGAGGCAGCAGUGAGGAAUAUUGCGCAAUGGGCGAAAGCCUGACGCAGCGACGCCGCC
This 380-nucleotide ribosomal RNA is filed under the name uncultured bacterium. RNAcentral's name for it is "bacterial SSU rRNA". It matches the Rfam family "Bacterial small subunit ribosomal RNA", at positions 29 to 401 of the family's 1533-position model. The record is from RNAcentral.